Molecule: ribosomal RNA, 430 nt
Filed under: uncultured bacterium
Lineage: Bacteria
Description: bacterial SSU rRNA
Rfam family: Bacterial small subunit ribosomal RNA
Source: RNAcentral
GGGCCCGCACAAGCGGUGGAGUAUGUGGUUUAAUUCGAUGCAACGCGAAGAACCUUACCAGGGCUUAAAUGUAGUCUGACAGGGGUGGAAACACCCCCUCCUUCGGGCAGAUUACAAGGUGCUGCAUGGUUGUCGUCAGCUCGUGCCGUGAGGUGUCAGGUUAAGUCCUAUAACGAGCGCAACCCCUGCCGUUAGUUGCCAGCAUGUAAUGAUGGGAACUCUAACGGGACUGCCGGUGCAAACCGCGAGGAAGGUGGGGAUGACGUCAAAUCAUCACGGCCCUUACGUCCUGGGCUACACACGUGCUACAAUGGCCGGUACAGAGGGCAGCCACACCGCAAGGUGGAGCGAAUCCUUAAAACCGGUCUCAGUUCGGAUCGUAGGCUGCAACUCGCCUACGUGAAGGAGGAAUCGCUAGUAAUCGCAGGUC